GUGGGGAUGGGUCAUGGUUCAGUAGCACAGCAUCUGUUUAGCAUGCAGAAGAUCCCGGGUUCAAACCCCAGCACCUACA
RNAcentral lists this transfer RNA (79 nucleotides) under Sphaerodactylus townsendi. RNAcentral describes it as "tRNA-Ala". Lineage: Eukaryota; Metazoa; Chordata; Lepidosauria; Squamata; Sphaerodactylidae. The record is from RNAcentral.